CAUAUCAAAAUUUUUGUUACUUGCAUUCCAGCGGUGUUUAAGAUGUGUCGUCUUACAGGGCAUUGGAUUGUUUAAAUUGUAACUAUUUGAAGAGGGCUUAGUUGCACGAUUCUUCUGAGUUCUAACCAGGUUGGAUUGGCUAAAAUUCUGGAUUUAUAUUAUGAAGAUCUGUACACCCUCCCUAACAAACAGCUCUCAUCUGGGUUGGUUUCAGAAAUUUCAAAAUUAUCAAAGAGUAAGAGGAGCUCUUCAUCGUUACGAAUGCUAUCUAUUACAUUUGCUGGUGGAUGUUUUCUGGUAGCCAUUGGUAUUCUUGCUCAACUUUGUAAGCCUCACCUCUUCAAGGCUAGAAAAUCUCCAGCCUUGAGUUUCUUUUCUCUAAGCCUAUAUAUUCCCAAGAAGACUACCUGUUUCUAACAUUUUGAUGCACCUAAUGA
Magnolia sinica is the source of this 437-nucleotide long non-coding RNA. RefSeq lists it as uncharacterized. NCBI's taxonomy places the organism in Eukaryota, Viridiplantae, Streptophyta, Magnoliopsida, Magnoliales, Magnoliaceae. The record is from RefSeq and is a predicted model, not a curated record. The transcript is spliced from 3 exons.